CAACAUUUCAAUUAGGCAGCUCUUCUGAAAUUAGAGGUUAUGAAAGUACACAUUUCUAGGUGUGGAAAACACCAUCUGUCAAGGAGUCCCGAGCCGUUUGGCGUUCUGAGGCAGGGACAUUGCGGGGCUCAGGCCUUGCAGGCUUUAGCUGAGACGUAUCCAGUGACCAUCACCACACCGGGUGAGCGAGUGGCUUCCUGCAAGGCCAUAAUAUCAGAGUCUGUGGCCAGGGCAGUGAUUAAUGACCUUAUUUGCAGAAAGAAACCCUCAGGGAGAAGCCAAGUGCCAAGGAGAGAGGCUGGCGAGGCCCUCCCCAACAGACUGAGAAGGGCAAGAGGGAUGUGGACAGCCACCAAGAAAGCAGGCUACUAAAAUCUGUGUGCACCUUGAUUCAACCCCUGUAUCUUUACUGAAGGGGAGUUACUGAAGCAUUUGACAAAGGACACGUGGUGGAAGCAGUGCCAGAAGCCUGAACGCAGGUUUUCGGACUCCUACCCCAGACAGCCUGUUUACUCUGCCUCUCCAGGAAAUCAGUGUGUUUAGAGGAACUGGCAUCAAGAUGGACUAGAAGCAGCUUAGUUGGGAGAACAGGUCUCAGUUUACACACCCCCAAAGGCAGGAAGGGAGGACCCCAUAUCCAUUUCUAGUAUUUCCUCCUGUUGACUGAAAGGAUCCUGGAGUUUGAAUCUAGGAUCAACAGGGAUGGCAUUACAUGUCCUCAGGCAGCCGAAGGUCACAGUUGUUCAAAGCCAAUCACUGAGGCCCCUGACAAUGUCAGAAGGCUGAGCGAAUCUCAUAGGGGGAAAAAAAUCUUACAAGCAAACAAAUGCUUAACAAAAGCUCCUCUAUGGAGCUGAACUAGUUCAGGACUUAAAAGCUGUUCAGGGAGACCGGACAGGUGAUGGGAAAUGGGACACCGCUGGGGGUGGGGGCCGAGGACAGAAAAGGGAAGCAAGCCUGUAAACAGAAAGCUUCUCUGGACGAAUGCCCAGAGAAUCAGGGUCCUUCGCAGUUGGGAUCUAAUCCACUUCUGUCUCCAGACAGAAUUUCUUUGGUGACUGGUUUCCCCCUUUUCACUAGUCUCUGACCCUCAGGGCCAAGAAUGAACCAGGGACUACAUGCAGAGCGCUGUGCCCAGACUGAUCAAUGUAGCUUAGGUCAGGCACACCACACCUUCACUAGCUCCUGUCUUGCCUUCUCUCUCUUUUAAAACACAACAGACUUCUGCUUCCAACUGCAUCUCCUCUGGUGAACUCAUAGGAAUCCCACCCCCUCCCAAGACCCAACCCUUUCCCCAUAAGCUUUCCCCUUGUUCCCCACUUAAAUCCUGACCUCAAAUUCCACAAGUGCAAUGCUUUUGCUGGUCAUAAGCCAAAUGUCAUUACGGAAACGUCAAACCUGUCAGAUGAGCAAGAAUUUUAUUGAUCCCUUCCAAAAAAAAGCAUAUGCUUGUUCUAAUGAUACCUGUUGACUGGCCCAAUUUCAUAAAGGGAGCUGAAAGCAAUGAGGAGCAAAUCCAAAAU
Molecule: long non-coding RNA, 1523 nt
Filed under: Canis lupus familiaris (dog)
Lineage: Eukaryota; Metazoa; Chordata; Mammalia; Carnivora; Canidae
Description: lncRNA (ENSCAFG00000056376.1)
Source: RNAcentral